RNAcentral lists this ribosomal RNA (253 nucleotides) under uncultured bacterium. RNAcentral describes it as "partial 16S ribosomal RNA". It matches the Rfam family "Bacterial small subunit ribosomal RNA", at positions 524 to 776 of the family's 1533-position model. The record is from RNAcentral.
UACGUAGGGGGCAAGCGUUGUCCGGAAUCAUUGGGCGUAAAGCGCGUGUAGGCGGCCCGGUAAGUCCGCUGUGAAAGUCCAGGGCUCAACCCUGGAAUGCCGGUGGAUACUGUCGGGCUCGAGUCCGGAAGAGGCGAGUGGAAUUCCUGGUGUAGCGGUGAAAUGCGCAGAUAUCAGGAGGAACACCGAUGGCGAAGGCAGCUCGCUGGGACGGUACUGACGCUGAGACGCGAAAGUGUGGGGAUCAAACAGG